RNAcentral lists this transfer RNA (72 nucleotides) under Loxodonta africana (African savanna elephant). It matches the Rfam family "tRNA". Rfam says of the family: Transfer RNA (tRNA) molecules are approximately 80 nucleotides in length. Their secondary structure includes four short double-helical elements and three loops (D, anti-codon, and T loops). Further hydrogen bonds mediate the characteristic L-shaped molecular structure. tRNAs have two regions of fundamental functional importance: the anti-codon, which is responsible for specific mRNA codon recognition, and the 3' end, to which the tRNAs corresponding amino acid is attached (by aminoacyl-tRNA synthetases). tRNAs cope with the degeneracy of the genetic code in two manners: having more than one tRNA (with a specific anti-codon) for a particular amino acid; and 'wobble' base-pairing, i.e. permitting non-standard base-pairing at the 3rd anti-codon position. The record is from Rfam by way of RNAcentral. Lineage: Eukaryota; Metazoa; Chordata; Mammalia; Proboscidea; Elephantidae.
GCCAUGGUGGCACAAUGGUUAAGUGCUCAGCUGCUAACUGAAAGUUUGGUAGCUUGAACCCACCCAGUGGCC